GGAAACGGUAGCUAAUACCGCAUAAUGUCGCAAGACCAAAGAGGGGGACCUUCGGGCCUCUUGCCAUCGGAUGUGCCCAGAUGGGAUUAGCUUGUUGGUGGGGUAACGGCUCACCAAGGCGACGAUCCCUAGCUGGUCUGAGAGGAUGACCAGCCACACUGGAACUGAGACACGGUCCAGACUCCUACGGGAGGCAGCAGUGGGGAAUAUUGCACAAUGGGCGCAAGCCUGAUGCAGCCAUGCCGCGUGUAUGAAGAAGGCCUUCGGGUUGUAAAGUACUUUCAGCGGGGAGGAAGGGAGUAAAGUUAAUACCUUUGCUCAUUGACGUUACCCGCAGAAGAAGCACCGGCUAACUCCGUGCCAGCAGCCGCGGUAAUACGGAGGGUGCAAGCGUUAAUCGGAAUUACUGGGCGUAAAGCGCACGCAGGCGGUUUGUUAAGUCAGAUGUGAAAUCCCCGGGCUCAACCUGGGAACUGCAUCUGAUACUGGCAAGCUUGAGUCUCGUAGAGGGGGGUAGAAUUCCAGGUGUAGCGGUGAAAUGCGUAGAGAUCUGGAGGAAUACCGGUGGCGAAGGCGGCCCCCUGGACGAAGACUGACGCUCAGGUGCGAAAACGCGGGGAGCAAACAGGAUUAGAUACCCUGGUAGUCCACGCCGUAAACGAUGUCGACUUGGAGGUUGUGCCCUUGAGGCGUGGCUUCCGGAGCUAACGCGUUAAGUCGACCGCCUGGGGAGUACGGCCGCAAGGUUAAAACUCAAAUGAAUUGACGGGGGCCCGCACAAGCGGUGGAGCAUGUGGUUUAAUUCGAUGCAACGCGAAGAACCUUACCUGGUCUUGACAUCCACGGAAGUUUUCAGAGAUGAGAAUGUGCCUUCGGGAACCGUGAGACAGGUGCUGCAUGGCUGUCGUCAGCUCGUGUUGUGAAAUGUUGGGUUAAGUCCCGCAACGAGCGCAACCCUUAUCCUUUGUUGCCAGCGGUCCGGCCGGGAACUCAAAGGAGACUGCCAGUGAUAAACUGGAGGAAGGUGGGGAUGACGUCAAGUCAUCAUGGCCCUUACGACCAGGGCUACACACGUGCUACAAUGGCGCAUACAAAGAGAAGCGACCUCGCGAGAGCAAGCGGACCUCAUAAAGUGCGUCGUAGUCCGGAUUGGAGUCUGCAACUCGACUCCAUGAAGUCGGAAUCGCUAGUAAUCGUGGAUCAGAAUGCCACGGUGAAUACGUUCCCGGGCCUUGUACACACCGCCCGUCACACCAUGGGAGUGGGUUGCAAAAGAAGUAGGUAGCUUAACCUUCGGGAGGGCGCUUACCACUUUGUGAUUCAUGACUGGGGUGAAGUCGGAACAAGGUA
Molecule: ribosomal RNA, 1350 nt
Filed under: metagenome
Description: bacterial SSU rRNA
Rfam family: Bacterial small subunit ribosomal RNA
Source: RNAcentral